GUUUUGGAGGGUUUGAUCCUAGCUCAGGAUGAACGCUGGCGGCGUGCCUAAUGCAUGCAAGUCGAACGGUACUCUGAUUUCGGUUAGUGUACAGUGGCGAACGGCUGAGUAAAGCAAGGGCAACCUGCCCCACAGUGGGGAAUAACUCCGAGAAAUCGGAGCUAAUACCGCAUACGAUCAUCCCAGUUCGCUGAGAUGAUGAAAGCCUCACGGCGCUGAGGGAGGGGCUCUUGUCCUAUCAGGUAGUUGGCAGGGUAACGGCCUACCAAGCCUAAGACGGGUAGCUGGUCUGAGAGGAUGGUCAGCCAGACGGGGACUGAGAUACGGCCCCGACUCCUACGGGAGGCAGCAGCAAGGGAUAUUGCGCAAUGGGCGAAAGCCUGACGCAGCGACGCCGCGUGAGGGACGAAGGCCUUCGGGUCGUAAACCUCUUUUCUUGGUGAAGAGUAAGGACGGUAAUCAAGGAAUAAGCCCCGGCUAACUACGUGCCAGCAGCCGCGGUAAUACGUAGGGGGCGAGCGUUAUCCGGAUUUACUGGGCGUAAAGAGCGUGUAGGCGGCUUCCAAAGUUGGCAGUGAAAGGUCCUGGCUUAACUGGGAUACGCCUGCCAAUACUGGGGAGCUAGAGGGCAGCAGAGGAAAGUGGAACUCGCGGUGUAGCGGUGAAAUGUGUAGAUAUCGCGAGGAACACCAGUGGCGAAGGCGGCUUUCUGGGCUGUUCCUGACGCUGAGACGCGAAAGCGUGGGGAGUGAAGCGGAUUAGAUACCCGCGUAAUCCACGCCUUAAACGGUGGAUACUAGGUAUGGGGGGUAUCGACCCUCUCCGUGCCGAAGCUAACGCCUUAAGUAUCCCGCCUGGGGACUACGGCCGCAAGGCUAAAACUCAAAGGAAUUGACGGGGGCCCGCACAAGCAGCGGAGCGUGUGGUUUAAUUCGAUGCAACACGAAGAACCUUACCAAGGCUUGACAUGCCGGUAGUAGGAACCCGAAAGGGCAACGACCCACCUUCGGGUGGGAGCCAGCACAGGUGCUACAUGGCUGUCGUCAGCUCGUGCCGUGAGGUGUUGGGUUAAGUCCCAUAACGAGCGCAACCCUUGUCCUGUGUUGAUUUCUCACAGGAGACCGCCCAGGAAUUCUGGGAGGAAGGUGAGGAUGACGUCAAGUCAGCAUGGCCCUUAUGCCUUGGGCGACACACACGCUACAAUGGGCGGUACAAAUGGUUGCGAAAGAGCGAUCUGGAGCUAAUCCCAAAAAGCCGUCCUCAGUUCGGAUUGCAGGCUGAAACCCGCCUGCAUGAAGGAGGAGUUGCUAGUAACCGCAGGUCAGCAUACUGCGGUGAAUACGUUCUCGGGCCUUGUACACACCGCCCGUCACGUCAUGAAAGCUGGUAACACCUGAAGUCAAUGAGCCAACUCGCAAGAGGGGCAGUUGCCGAGGGUGGGACUGGUGAUUGGGACGAAGUCGUAACAAGGUAGCUGUACCGGAAGGUGCGGCUGGAUCACCUCCUUU
RNAcentral lists this ribosomal RNA (1508 nucleotides) under Anaerolineae bacterium. RNAcentral's name for it is "bacterial SSU rRNA". It matches the Rfam family "Bacterial small subunit ribosomal RNA". The record is from RNAcentral. Lineage: Bacteria; Bacillati; Chloroflexota; Anaerolineae.